CACACACAGAAGCUUCCAACAGGCGCUCACACACACUGAUGUACACAUACCUGGCCGGUCCAGCUUCAGGGAGAGCCACUGGAUGGAAACACCCAGUCUUAGCUGUGCGGUUUUGUUCGUGUCGGACUGCAAACAUGCUUUCAUUCUUCUGUAUGUUUAAAGAGGCCCCUGCUUGAGUUUGGUCAUCGAAGAGCCACUGAACAAAUACAGAGUGGACCGAGCCCCUUGCAUCCAUCUCGCUAUGGAAGAAUUUUCAAUGCAGAUGUCCGUUUCAGCUGCGCCUGGGCCUGGCUAUCACAUAACGAAAAUAAACCAAAAACCCGUUUUACAGUUUGGCAGAGGUAAGCACAAAUACGGACACAGACGCAUACGCGCGGUGGACACAGAUGGAAUUUGUACACGUGUGUCUGUAUUCAUACACAUCAGUGGUCUCACACAUGCAGACUUGCAUAUACUUAUUCAACAGUUUUGCAUAUUUUUGUUCUUCUGUAAAGGUGUGGACAGGUGGGUCCGGCGUCAGGUUCAAGAGCACAUGUGGCUUCAGUUAGAACAGCCAGAAAUGGAGAUUUUGC
Molecule: long non-coding RNA, 572 nt
Filed under: Takifugu rubripes (torafugu)
Lineage: Eukaryota; Metazoa; Chordata; Actinopteri; Tetraodontiformes; Tetraodontidae
Description: lncRNA (ENSTRUG00000030514.1)
Source: RNAcentral